GUCUCCUCAAGCGCACGGAACGCGGCGCUCGGGGGGCCGCCAGCAGCCCCGCACGCCCACGGGAGCUCCUCCGAGCGCGGGGUCUCCGAUCCUGGCAGCCCCCCUCUCCCCGGCGGUGAGGGCGGCCAGCGAGGCGGGCUUCAGAAGGCCCUGCCCAUUAAUUUGCACAUUGUGGAGGGGUUUCAGCCAAGGAGCAAGGGGAGCAAGAGGCAGUGUAAUAACACAUUCAUAUGAAGAAAGGAGAACAUAUUCAUUUACCUAGGAGACUGAAGGCAUAACGAGUCCUGAGCGGCGCAGUCCUUGUGAGUGCAAUCAGACAGGAACCUUCUGGGACAAUGUCAACCUCAGCAACCUCCAUCCUAACAGCAAGCAGCCUCUUUUAUAUUUUGCUACUAUACUGCAACAGAUGCUACGUUUAACUUUUCACUUCACUUCCACCUGUUGAGUUUUUAAACAAAGUCUUUACUGACCUUAAAAAUACUAGUCAACUAGUCAGGAACUAGUCAACAAUUAGAUAACCCCUGUAUGGCCUUAAUUUUUGUGGCAUCUUCCCCUUUGGCAAUAGUUUAAUUUGGUGCCUCAUUAUAUUAUUGGAUGUACCAAAUUUGAAAAGAACCUGUGUCUGCCUUGGAAAUAAUUUGAUUAAAAAAAUAACAAAAUAUAAAUAGAUAAACAUUGGAUAAACCAUGGUGCUCUGUUGUUUAGGGCUUCUGAAGGUCUGUGUUUACAUUAUGUCAUUGGAAAUUAUAGUAGCAGGUUUUAAAAAAAAAAAAAAAAAAGGACAGAUUCUCUGCCAGUAGAUAUUUCAGAUUCCUAGUACAGGUGUGAGUGCUGGUAGUAUUGCAAGGGGAUGACAACCUGGCCAAAGCCCUCCAGACAGUUGUACAGAAUGGCAAGAACAUACAAGCAACGACAUCCUCCUGCCGUAGCAGGAGACGUGGGGUCUCAGAGAUGCCAACAAAGUGAAUACAGAGCAAUUUACGUUAGCUGUAGGUGUGUAAUAAAUUCUGAUGGGUUCGGAAAGGUCUAGAUGAGCAGGCAAUGCCAAAGGAUCACAUGGGAGCAGGGAGAUACUUUUCCCCCAAAAUGUAAAGCAGAGAAGUAAGCAUAAUGAUGCAUUUAAUCUUUUCAUUUAAUAGGAUUAAGAGAUAAACUUCUAUCUAGAGUUAGAAAUAUUACAAAGAGUUGGUGUUUUGUGUUUGAUACAGCAAUAUUAUUUGCUAAUUAUUUUAACAUUAUUAUUGUCCUAAGAUAAUUCAUAGUCCUCUUGUAUACAAAGAGCUAUAAAGUACAACAGCUAGUACCUUAACUAACCUAAAUCUCGUUACCUUGAUGUAAUUACAGAUCUGAAAGAAGCCCGAUAAAUAUUUAGCUUUUGAAUUAGAAGUACCAUUAUGUUUAGCAUCCAGUUUCAUCUACAGCUGUCACUUGUUUUUUUAACAGACUGAUUUUCUUCAGAUAUUCUGCUGUAAAUGGUCACAAAUAAAAAGCCUGCCUUUC
Grus americana (Whooping crane) is the source of this 1500-nucleotide long non-coding RNA. RefSeq lists it as uncharacterized. The record is from RefSeq and is a predicted model, not a curated record. The transcript has 3 exons. Lineage: Eukaryota; Metazoa; Chordata; Aves; Gruiformes; Gruidae.